CAGAGGGGUCCUGUUUUUAUAGCAGGGAGUUGGGGAGAAAGGUGCAGACAGCCUGGGAGUGAGAUGGCUAGGCUCAAAGAGAAAGAUGCAGGCAGGAGAGGAAUCAUGGUAUGCUCAAGCACAUUGCUUCUAGUGCUGGGGAAACUGAGGCAAGGAAAAGCGGGCUUGUGUGUGAAUUGUCUUACAUGGCUUUGUAUUUUUCAUGCAGACAUUUCCUAUGUUUAAGGACUCCCUGCUCUCCCGUGUCUCUGAAGAUCCAGAGUCCGAGUGAUUGGAGCGCAGGGAGAUGGGAUGGAAAUAUCUCAUGUCUGCAGCUGAUCUGCUAUGUACUACUGGGCAUGGGACAGUUGUCUGCUCUGCAAGUUCCUCCAUAUGCCCUGUUGAGAGACACUUCUGCCAUCUCUGAGAGAAGACUUCGUCCAAAGAUCAUCAUCAGCAGCUGCCAUUAAAGUAUGGGAGACCUCAGAAGGAAGCUGAGGUCUAAAUAAACCUAUGAUUUGUGACUGCACCUCUGCACACAAAGAGAUGGCAAGGGAGCACAGUGUGAAGUGUCAGCUAAUGGGAGGAGGGCUCAGAAGGAGUCGUCCCUUUCCUUCCCCACAGGCAAUCUUUGACCUGUUUGCUUGCUGCUGUGGUCUCUUGUUUUGCUGCUGUUCUUGGAUCAAUGAGGACCAACUGAGGUGGCUGUGUUCCUGGGCAAUGUGUGUGGAUGGAUGUGUCACCUCUGGACUCACCCUCUCCAAAUGGUCCAUUUCUGUUCAAAAACAGAACACCGGCCUUCUGAUGAAAAUCAGCCGUUUACAGUGGAAACCUGAGAUACUCUUGCUUGAACAAGAUACAUGGGGAAUUUAGCCCUGUUGAGGAUCCUGGCAAUAAGCCUUCAAGGCACUGUGGCCUGUAGCUCUUGAGAACAGCUUAUCUGGUUCAACUGGGCAAGGAGAUUUCCUUGAUGUGCCUUCUGAUUUUAAACUGGAUGAAGGAGCUUUGCCUUCUCUUUUCCUAAAUAGCUGCUUUGGAAGUGGAGGUAUUUUAAAGGUGGGUGGAUUAUUGCUUGCAAAACAAUCUCGGCUGUUCAGCUUCACAGAAUUUAAGACUGGUGCACGGCUGUAUUUUCAUCCUGAAUCUCAUAGGAAAAUUCUCUUUACUUGGAGGCCAUUUCACACCUUGAACAACUCCUAUCAGGUAGGUGGAGUGUUGGCUUGACUCUCCCUUCAUGUAAGUUGUGCCAGCUGUGAGCUGUGUGUUCUGUAACAACCUCUCCUUGUGUGUGGCAGCAACAUCUGGGGACGUGCUGUGGUUGCCAUUUUGAGUAGGAGGUACCUGUUUUGCAGAGAGUGGAAGAGAAGAUGCCAAGGCAAAACAAAAGGCAUUGCUGCAUGAAAUUGCAGUGCACCUAACUCAGGUAGAGGAGGCUGCCAAGAACAGGCCAGUCAGUCUAGAAACAUACAAAUUACUUAAGGAUAUCUAGACUAAAACCUUUCCAGAUAGUCUUCCUGGCCCUGUAGGCCCUCUGCAGGUGAGUGAUUUUCUGUGGACCUCACAGAAAGGUUGUAAAGAGCUGGCUGAGCAAAACAAAACAGUGCUUUCAUCAAACUGAGAAAAUAGGGUGUUUUUAAACUUAAAACCAAUUUUUUUAAAAUGCUUCCGACUGAAUAGCUGAAGGCCUGGAAAGCAGCCCUAAAAAUAAGUAACCUGUAGCUUUAGCUAGUUACACAAAUAAAUGCCUUUCUAGGGUCUGCA
RNAcentral lists this long non-coding RNA (1740 nucleotides) under Struthio camelus australis. RNAcentral's name for it is "lncRNA (ENSSCUG00000005415.1)". Lineage: Eukaryota; Metazoa; Chordata; Aves; Struthioniformes; Struthionidae. The record is from RNAcentral.